UCCCUGGCAUUUCAGUGGUUGAAACGCCACACUUUCACUGUGGGGGGCCCGGGUUCAAUCCCUGGUCAGGGAA
Molecule: transfer RNA, 73 nt
Filed under: Ovis aries (sheep)
Lineage: Eukaryota; Metazoa; Chordata; Mammalia; Artiodactyla; Bovidae
Rfam family: tRNA
About the family: Transfer RNA (tRNA) molecules are approximately 80 nucleotides in length. Their secondary structure includes four short double-helical elements and three loops (D, anti-codon, and T loops). Further hydrogen bonds mediate the characteristic L-shaped molecular structure. tRNAs have two regions of fundamental functional importance: the anti-codon, which is responsible for specific mRNA codon recognition, and the 3' end, to which the tRNAs corresponding amino acid is attached (by aminoacyl-tRNA synthetases). tRNAs cope with the degeneracy of the genetic code in two manners: having more than one tRNA (with a specific anti-codon) for a particular amino acid; and 'wobble' base-pairing, i.e. permitting non-standard base-pairing at the 3rd anti-codon position.
Source: Rfam by way of RNAcentral